GCAAUUUUUCUGAGGGGAGGCGAUCACCGCUAUCCAUUAUGCUUGAAGGAUCUUGUAUCAAGGUUCCCACUGAUUUCACCUUGGUUGGAUUAUCAUCACAGUCAGUAAAAUCGAUUGGUUUAGUUAAAUCACUAGCAGAUUUAUAACCCGGAAAAUCAUGUUUUCUCCCAGGCCAGUAUUUCAUUCGAUCCAACUCACUGCUACUUCUCUCAAGUAAAUCUACAGUUUCCCAUUGCUUUGACUGAGGUGUUGAAUUGUACCAUAUCUUUCUUUGUCUCUCCAGCAUAUCUGAACUCUUUGCAUUCUCCACAAGCUGAUAGUACAUUUCUUUUGAAAUUGAUGGCUUAAGACAUGAGAGAAGAGCUUUCUCUGAAGCUAGAGAUGCUGGCUGCCUGCGAAGGAAGGGCCUUAUUACGGGGACAAGAA
RNAcentral lists this unclassified non-coding RNA (426 nucleotides) under Hevea brasiliensis (rubber tree). The record is from RNAcentral. Lineage: Eukaryota; Viridiplantae; Streptophyta; Magnoliopsida; Malpighiales; Euphorbiaceae.